UACCCGCGGCCCGAGUGGUGCUCAUUAUUAUUGAGCCUAAAGCGUCCGUAGCUGGCCGAGCAAAUCUCCGGGGAAAUCGGGCGGCCCAACCGUCCGAAGUCCGGAGACACUGCCCGGCUUGAGAUCGGGAGAGGGAGGAGGUACUCUUGGGGUAGGGGUAAAAUCCUGUAAUCCUGAGGGGACCACCAGUGGCGAAGGCGUCCUCCUAGAACGAAUCUGACAGUGAGGGACGAAGCCCUAGGGCGCAAACGGG
Molecule: ribosomal RNA, 253 nt
Filed under: uncultured bacterium
Lineage: Bacteria
Description: partial 16S ribosomal RNA
Rfam family: Archaeal small subunit ribosomal RNA
Source: RNAcentral